This 328-nucleotide unclassified non-coding RNA is filed under the name soil metagenome. RNAcentral's name for it is "partial contains 5.8S ribosomal RNA, internal transcribed spacer 2, and large subunit ribosomal RNA". The stretch from base 1 to 120 matches the Rfam family "5.8S ribosomal RNA", at positions 35 to 154 of the family's 154-position model. The record is from RNAcentral.
GAUGAAGAACGUAGCGAAAUGCGAUAAGUAAUGUGAAUUGCAGAAUUCAGUGAAUCAUCGAAUCUUUGAACGCACAUUGCGCCCCCUGGUAUUCCGGGGGGCAUGCCUGUCCGAGCGUCAUUACAACCCUCAAGCUCAGCUUGGUGUUGGGGCCUGCUGCACUGGCAGCCCUUAAAAUCAGUGGCGGCGCCAUCUGGCUCUAAGCGUAGUAAUUCUUCUCGCUAUGGAGUCCUGGUGGAUGCUUGCCAUCAACCCCCAAUUUUUCUAUGGUUGACCUCGGAUCAGGUAGGGAUACCCGCUGAACUUAAGCAUAUCAAUAAGCGGAGGA